This 64-nucleotide transfer RNA is filed under the name Dipodomys ordii (Ord's kangaroo rat). It matches the Rfam family "tRNA". From Rfam's summary of the family: Transfer RNA (tRNA) molecules are approximately 80 nucleotides in length. Their secondary structure includes four short double-helical elements and three loops (D, anti-codon, and T loops). The record is from Rfam by way of RNAcentral. Lineage: Eukaryota; Metazoa; Chordata; Mammalia; Rodentia; Heteromyidae.
GGGAAGGUGGCUCAGUGGUAGAGUGCUUGCUUUGGAUGCAGGAGGCCCUGCGUUUGCUUCCUCA